UAGCAUAUCAWUAAGCGGAGGAAAAGAAACCAACCGGGAUUGCCCUAGUAACGGCGAGUGAAGCGGCAAGAGCUCAAAUUUGAAAGCUGGCUCCUUCGGGGUCCGCAUUGUAAUUUGCAGAGGAUGCUUCGGGAGCGGUCCCCAUCUAAGUGCCCUGGAACGGGCCGUCAUAGAGGGUGAGAAUCCCGUAUGGGAUGGGGUGCCCGCGCCCGUGUGAAGCUCCUUCGACGAGUCGAGUUGUUUGGGAAUGCAGCUCUAAUUGGGUGGUAAAUUUCAUCUAAAGCUAAAUAUUGGCCGGAGACCGAUAGCGCACAAGUAGAGUGAUCGAAAGAUGAAAAGCACUUUGAAAAGAGAGUUAAACAGCACGUGAAAUUGUUGAAAGGGAAGCGCUUGCGAUCAGACUCGCUCGCGGGGUUCAGCCGGCCUUCGGGCCGGUGUACUUCCCCGCGGGCGGGCCAGCGUCGGUUUGGGCGGCCGGUCAAAGGCCCCUGGAAUGUAACGCCUCUCGGGGCGUCUUAUAGCCAGGGGUGCCAUGCGGCCUGCCCGGACCGAGGAACGCGCUUCGGCUCGGACGCUGGCAUAAUGGUCGUAAGCGACCCGUCUUGAAACACGGACCAAGGAGUCUAACAUCUACGCGAGUGUUCGGGUGUCAAACCCGUGCGCGCAGUGAAAGCGAACGGAGGUGGGAACCCCUCGGGGUGCACCAUCGACCGAUCCUGAUGUCUUCGGAUGGAUUUGAGUAAGAGCGUAGCUGUUGGGACCCGAAAGAUGGUGAACUAUGCCUGAAUAGGGCGAAGCCAGAGGAAACUCUGGUGGAGGCUCGCAGCGGUUCUGACGUGCAAAUCGAUCGUCAAAUUUGGGUAUAGGGGCGAAAGACUAAUCGAACCAUCUAGUAGCUGGUUCCUGCC
RNAcentral lists this ribosomal RNA (908 nucleotides) under Penicillium westlingii. RNAcentral's name for it is "LSU rRNA". It matches the Rfam family "Eukaryotic large subunit ribosomal RNA", at positions 36 to 962 of the family's 3401-position model. The record is from RNAcentral. Lineage: Eukaryota; Fungi; Ascomycota; Eurotiomycetes; Eurotiales; Aspergillaceae.